RNAcentral lists this ribosomal RNA (1394 nucleotides) under Lactiplantibacillus plantarum. RNAcentral describes it as "bacterial SSU rRNA". It matches the Rfam family "Bacterial small subunit ribosomal RNA", at positions 67 to 1434 of the family's 1533-position model. The record is from RNAcentral. Lineage: Bacteria; Bacillati; Bacillota; Bacilli; Lactobacillales; Lactobacillaceae.
UGGUAUUGAUUGGUGCUUGCAUCAUGAUUUACAUUUGAGUGAGUGGCGAACUGGUGAGUAACACGUGGGAAACCUGCCCAGAAGCGGGGGAUAACACCUGGAAACAGAUGCUAAUACCGCAUAACAACUUGGACCGCAUGGUCCGAGUUUGAAAGAUGGCUUCGGCUAUCACUUUUGGAUGGUCCCGCGGCGUAUUAGCUAGAUGGUGAGGUAACGGCUCACCAUGGCAAUGAUACGUAGCCGACCUGAGAGGGUAAUCGGCCACAUUGGGACUGAGACACGGCCCAAACUCCUACGGGAGGCAGCAGUAGGGAAUCUUCCACAAUGGACGAAAGUCUGAUGGAGCAACGCCGCGUGAGUGAAGAAGGGUUUCGGCUCGUAAAACUCUGUUGUUAAAGAAGAACAUAUCUGAGAGUAACUGUUCAGGUAUUGACGGUAUUUAACCAGAAAGCCACGGCUAACUACGUGCCAGCAGCCGCGGUAAUACGUAGGUGGCAAGCGUUGUCCGGAUUUAUUGGGCGUAAAGCGAGCGCAGGCGGUUUUUUAAGUCUGAUGUGAAAGCCUUCGGCUCAACCGAAGAAGUGCAUCGGAAACUGGGAAACUUGAGUGCAGAAGAGGACAGUGGAACUCCAUGUGUAGCGGUGAAAUGCGUAGAUAUAUGGAAGAACACCAGUGGCGAAGGCGGCUGUCUGGUCUGUAACUGACGCUGAGGCUCGAAAGUAUGGGUAGCAAACAGGAUUAGAUACCCUGGUAGUCCAUACCGUAAACGAUGAAUGCUAAGUGUUGGAGGGUUUCCGCCCUUCAGUGCUGCAGCUAACGCAUUAAGCAUUCCGCCUGGGGAGUACGGCCGCAAGGCUGAAACUCAAAGGAAUUGACGGGGGCCCGCACAAGCGGUGGAGCAUGUGGUUUAAUUCGAAGCUACGCGAAGAACCUUACCAGGUCUUGACAUACUAUGCAAAUCUAAGAGAUUAGACGUUCCCUUCGGGGACAUGGAUACAGGUGGUGCAUGGUUGUCGUCAGCUCGUGUCGUGAGAUGUUGGGUUAAGUCCCGCAACGAGCGCAACCCUUAUUAUCAGUUGCCAGCAUUAAGUUGGGCACUCUGGUGAGACUGCCGGUGACAAACCGGAGGAAGGUGGGGAUGACGUCAAAUCAUCAUGCCCCUUAUGACCUGGGCUACACACGUGCUACAAUGGAUGGUACAACGAGUUGCGAACUCGCGAGAGUAAGCUAAUCUCUUAAAGCCAUUCUCAGUUCGGAUUGUAGGCUGCAACUCGCCUACAUGAAGUCGGAAUCGCUAGUAAUCGCGGAUCAGCAUGCCGCGGUGAAUACGUUCCCGGGCCUUGUACACACCGCCCGUCACACCAUGAGAGUUUGUAACACCCAAAGUCGGUGGG